UACGAAGGGUGCAAGCGUUAAUCGGAAUUACUGGGCGUAAAGCGCGCGUAGGUGGUUCAGCAAGUUGGAUGUGAAAGCCCUGGGCUCAACCUGGGAAGUGCAUUGGAUACUGUAAGACUUGAAUACGGGAGAGGGCAGUGGAAUUCCUAGUGUAGGAGUGAAAUCCGUAGAUAUACGGAGGAACACCGAUGGCGAAGGCAAUCCCCUGGACCUGUACUGACGCUCAUGCACGAAAGCGUGGGGAGCAAACAGGAUUAGAUACCCUGGUAGU
RNAcentral lists this ribosomal RNA (271 nucleotides) under uncultured bacterium. RNAcentral's name for it is "partial 16S ribosomal RNA". It matches the Rfam family "Bacterial small subunit ribosomal RNA", at positions 524 to 794 of the family's 1533-position model. The record is from RNAcentral.